This 772-nucleotide ribosomal RNA is filed under the name uncultured bacterium. Its description in RNAcentral is "bacterial SSU rRNA". It matches the Rfam family "Bacterial small subunit ribosomal RNA", at positions 8 to 749 of the family's 1533-position model. The record is from RNAcentral.
AGAGUUUGAUCCUGGCUCAGAACGAACGCUGGCAGCGUGGAUUAGGCAUGCAAGCCGAACGGGAUCCGGGUUUAUAGCAAUAUAGAUCUGGUGAGAGUGGCGGAAGGGCGAGGAACGCGUGGGUAACCUGCCUCUAAGUUUGGGAUAACUCCCCGAAAGGGGUGCUAAUACCGGAUGUGGUCGGGCCUGCACAAGCAGGUUCGAUCAAAGACGGGGAUUCUUCGGAACCUGUCGCUUGGAGAGGGGCCCGCGUCCCAUCAGCUAGUUGGUGAGGUAAUGGCCCACCAAGGCUUACGGGUAGCUGGUCUGAGAGGAUGGUCAGCCGCACUGGGACUGAGACACUGCCCAGACUCCUACGGGAGGCUGCAGUCGAGGAUCAUUCGCAAUGGGCGCAAGCCUGACGAUGCGACGCUGCGUGGAGGAUGAAGGCCUUCGGGUCGUAAACUCCUGUCAUGUGGGAAAAACGGCGGCCGGAUUAAUACCCCGGUCGCGUGAUGGUACCGCAAGAGGAAGCCACGGCUAACUCUGUGCCAGCAGCCGCGGUAAUACAGAGGUGGCGAGCGUUGUUCGGAUUUACUGGGCGUAAAGGGUGCGUAGGCGGACUCGUAUGUCGGGUGUGAAAUCCCACAGCUCAACUGUGGACGGUCAUCCGAAACUGCGAGACUAGAGUACGGGACGGGAGAGCGGAAUUCUUGGUGUAGCGGUGAAAUGCGUUGAUAUCAAGAGGAACACCGGUGGCGAAGGCGGCUCUCUGGAACGUUACUGACGCUGA